UACGUAGGGGGCAAGCGUUGUCCGGAUUUAUUGGGCGUAAAGAGCGUGUAGGCGGCCAUACAGGUCCGUUGUGAAAACUGGAGGCUCAACCUCCAGACGUCGACGGAAACCGUAUGGCUAGAGUCCGGAAGAGGAGAGUGGAAUUCCGUGGUGUAGCGGUGAAAUGCGCAGAUAUCAGGAAGAACACCCGUGGCGAAAGCGAGGUCCUGGAUGCCUACUGACGCUGAGACGCGAAAGCCAGGGGAGCGAACGGG
This 254-nucleotide ribosomal RNA is filed under the name uncultured bacterium. RNAcentral describes it as "partial 16S ribosomal RNA". It matches the Rfam family "Bacterial small subunit ribosomal RNA", at positions 524 to 776 of the family's 1533-position model. The record is from RNAcentral.